AUACGUAGGGUGCGAGCGUUAAUCGGAAUUACUGGGCGUAAAGCGUGCGCAGGCGGUUUCGUAAGACAGAGGUGAAAUCCCCGGGCUCAACCUGGGAACUGCCUUUGUGACUGCGAGGCUAGAGUACGGCAGAGGGGGGUGGAAUUCCACGUGUAGCAGUGAAAUGCGUAGAGAUGUGGAGGAACACCGAUGGCGAAGGCAGCCCCCUGGGCCGAUACUGACGCUCAUGCACGAAAGCGUGGGUAGCAAACAGGAUUAGAAACCCCAGUAGUCC
This 274-nucleotide ribosomal RNA is filed under the name uncultured bacterium. RNAcentral describes it as "partial 16S ribosomal RNA". It matches the Rfam family "Bacterial small subunit ribosomal RNA", at positions 523 to 796 of the family's 1533-position model. The record is from RNAcentral.